Oncorhynchus tshawytscha (Chinook salmon) is the source of this 799-nucleotide long non-coding RNA. Lineage: Eukaryota; Metazoa; Chordata; Actinopteri; Salmoniformes; Salmonidae. The record is from Ensembl.
ACUGCAUUCAAUCGUCCGGGUGGUGUGCUGGGGGACGUCCUACGGUUUGGAGUGUGCUUGGAGAGAGAGGGAGAAGAAACCCUGCCUAGCAGGGCACUUUAUAGCGUCGCCUCAGUUCUUGCACAACGCGACCAUUGCAAGUGAGCGAGCGGAUUUUAGUCUAUAAUUAUACGGGCUGGAAACGGAUUUUCAUACGUCGUCAUGCUGUACAGCUUUUACAUCUACGGUCGAUGACACCUGCGUUUUUGUCUUGAAGUUUCGCCGAUCGCGAACAGUUGGGACUGCAUUCCUUCGCUCUGGAGUCCAGACCUGCAGCGUUUUUCAGAGUUAGUGAGAGAGCUAGAGAGAGAGGGGGUCCCCGUUCCUACCUGCUGUCUUUUACGUGUAACUUCUGAACUAUUCUCCAGCCCAGUCAAACAUUCUUCUGGCUGGCUCUGCCCAGUGUUGUCGUUUAUCGGAAACAUCGGAUAAUCACUAAUGAUAUCUGAGAAUCGAUUAGUUUUGAACUAGAAAGAUUCUGCAUUUAAGUUCUGCCCCAUUGGAUUGAAUGCCUUGUAUGCGGUGACUAUGGCUUUACAAUGGAUCCUCGUAGCCGCUUUGGCUGGAAUUCUUCUCACCGCCACUUCAGAAAUACAUGGAGCAUGUCUCUAUCAGGGAUCUCUGUUCGCGUUUCCUGUGUGUAUCAAGAAUGGUCCACCACCCCAAAAGAACAUCCAGCCAACUUGACACAACCGUGGGAAGCAAUUGGAGUCAACAUGGUCCAGCAACCCUGUGGAAUGCUUUUCGACAUCUUUUAGAG